RNAcentral lists this ribosomal RNA (444 nucleotides) under uncultured bacterium. Its description in RNAcentral is "SSU rRNA". It matches the Rfam family "Bacterial small subunit ribosomal RNA", at positions 26 to 518 of the family's 1533-position model. The record is from RNAcentral.
AGAGCGAACGCUGGCGGCAGGCCUAACACAUGCAAGCCGAGCGCCCGUAGCAAUACGGGAGCGGCAGACGGGAUAGUAACACGUGGGAACGCGCCCUUCGGUUCGGAAUAACUCAGGGAAACUUGAGCUAAUACCGGAUACGCCCUUACGGGGAAAGAUUUAUUGCCGAAGGAACGGCCCGCGUCCGAUUAGCUAGUUGGUGAGGUAAUGGCUCACCAAGGCGACGAUCGGUAGCUGGUCUGAGAGGAUGACCAGCAUCACUGGGACUGAGACACGGCCCAGACUCCUACGGGAGGCAGCAGUGGGGAAUAUUGGACAAUGGGCGCAAGCCUGAUCCAGCCAUGCCGCGUGGAUGAUGAGGCCUUAGGGUUGUAAAGUCCUUUUAACGGGGAAGAUAAUGACGGUACCGUAGAAUAAGCCCGGCUACUUCGUGCCAGCAGCCGC